UACAGAGGUCUCAACCGUUGUUCGGAUUCAUUGGGCGUAAAGGGUGCGUAGGCGGUCGUGCAAGUCGGAUGUGAAAUCUCGGGGCUCAACCCCGAAACUGCCGUUGAUACUAUCAAUCUUGAAUAUUGUGGAGGUAAGCGGAAUAUGUCAUGUAGCGGUGAAAUGCUUAGAUAUGACAUAGAACACCGAUAGCGAAGGCAGCUUGCUACACAAUUAUUGACACUGAGGCACGAAAGCGUGGGGAUCAAACAGG
Molecule: ribosomal RNA, 253 nt
Filed under: uncultured bacterium
Lineage: Bacteria
Description: partial 16S ribosomal RNA
Rfam family: Bacterial small subunit ribosomal RNA
Source: RNAcentral